This 145-nucleotide non-coding RNA is filed under the name Aquipseudomonas alcaligenes. RNAcentral's name for it is "Pseudomonas alcaligenes FMN sequence". It matches the Rfam family "FMN riboswitch aptamer (RFN element)". Rfam says of the family: The RFN element is a highly conserved domain that is found frequently in the 5'-untranslated regions of prokaryotic mRNAs that encode for flavin mononucleotide (FMN) biosynthesis and transport proteins. The record is from RNAcentral. Lineage: Bacteria; Pseudomonadati; Pseudomonadota; Gammaproteobacteria; Pseudomonadales; Pseudomonadaceae.
CAACGUUCUCAGGGCGGGGCGAAAUUCCCCACCGGCGGUAAUGACGCGCUGCGUCUAGCCCGCGAGCGCCUUUCCAGCGAAAGGGACAGCAGACCCGGUGCGAUUCCGGGGCCGACGGUAUAGUCCGGAUAAAGAGAGAGCGGGA